This 253-nucleotide ribosomal RNA is filed under the name uncultured bacterium. Its description in RNAcentral is "partial 16S ribosomal RNA". It matches the Rfam family "Bacterial small subunit ribosomal RNA", at positions 524 to 776 of the family's 1533-position model. The record is from RNAcentral.
UACGUAGGGAGCAAGCGUUGUCCGGAAUUAUUGGGCGUAAAGCGCGUGUAGGCGGCCAGAUAAGUCCGCUGUGAAAUCUCGAGGCUCAACUUCGAGCUGUCGGUGGAAACUGUCUGGCUAGAGUCCGGUAGGGGAGUGUGGAAUUCCCGGUGUAGCGGUGAAAUGCGCAGAUAUCGGGAGGAACACCGAUGGCGAAGGCAGCACUCUGGGCCGGUACUGACGCUGAGGAGCGAAAGCGUGGGGAGCGAACAGG